UACGACUACAUAUCAGGCAUAUCAAUAAGCGGAGGAAAAGAAACUAACUAGGAUUCCCUCAGUAACGGCGAGUGAAGCGGGAAGAGCUCAAAUUUGAAAUCUUCAAGGUUCUACCUUGACGAAUUGUAGUUUAAAGAAGUGUUUUCUGUUGGAGUUUUGGUAAAAGUUCUUUGGAAUAGGACAUCAUAGAGGGUGAGAAUCCCGUAUUUGACCAUUAUUUCCAGCUUUGUGAUACACUUUCAAAGAGUCGGAUUGUUUGGGAAUGCAGUCCAAAAUGGGUGGUAAAUUUCAUCUAAAGCUAAAUAUUGGCGAGAGACCGAUAGCGAACAAGUACCGUGAGGGAAAGAUGAAAAGAACUUUGAAAAGAGAGUUAAACAGUACGUGAAAUUGUCAAAAGGGAAGCGUUUGACACCAGUGUUGUUUUUCCGAAAAUCAAUUAAAAAUUGAUUCAUGCCAGGUUGUAUUGACCUUAUCAGCUUGCAAUUUGGUUUUGGGUCUCUUUUUGAUGCACUUUUCGGUUAACAAGUCAACAUCAAUUUCCUUUGCUGUAAAAAGGUAAGAGGAAGGUGGCUUCAAUUUCGGUUGAAGUGUUUAUAGCCUUUUAUCUCUGCAGUCGGGGAGAUUGAGGUCUGCAGCGUAGAUCCUUCGGGGCUAGAUACAUUUAUGCUAAGUUAUAGCUUUUCAUAGACAACUUGUUGACUAUGUUUAGUCAUGUAGCUUACUCGUAAGUGCUACUUUACCUACGCUUAGGAUGUUGAGCGCAUGUCUCUCUCU
Molecule: ribosomal RNA, 774 nt
Filed under: uncultured Neocallimastigales
Lineage: Eukaryota; Fungi; Neocallimastigomycota; Neocallimastigomycetes; Neocallimastigales
Description: partial large subunit ribosomal RNA
Rfam family: Eukaryotic large subunit ribosomal RNA
Source: RNAcentral